AAUGAUACCGCUGUUGGUGUCGGGAAAGACCCAUCUGUCAGUCUGGGGCUUGAUUGUGAUCCUCUUCACUCCAGGGAAGGUCUCAAGACCGAGCAUGUCGAUUUCAUUGUCGAAAUGACCAAUGUUGCAGACAAUGGCGUUGUUCUUCAUUUUCCUCAUGUGGUCAACCAUGAUGAUGUCCUUGUUACCGGUUGUGGUAACGAAGAUAUCAACAUCUGAAACGACAUCCUCAAGGGUAAGGACCUGAAGACCUUCCAUGGUAGCUUGGAGAGCACAGAUUGGAUCAAUCUCAGUCACGAUGACACGUGCACCAGCUUGCUUCAAGGCAGCAGCACAACCCUUACCGACAUCUCCGUAACCGGCAACAAGCGCUACCUUUCCGGCAAUCAUAACAUCAGUAGCCCUCAUG
Molecule: long non-coding RNA, 409 nt
Filed under: Nicotiana tabacum (common tobacco)
Lineage: Eukaryota; Viridiplantae; Streptophyta; Magnoliopsida; Solanales; Solanaceae
Description: long non-coding RNA (NTAB_LNC007608)
Source: RNAcentral